RNAcentral lists this transfer RNA (84 nucleotides) under Daphne genkwa. RNAcentral describes it as "tRNA-Leu". It matches the Rfam family "tRNA". Rfam says of the family: Transfer RNA (tRNA) molecules are approximately 80 nucleotides in length. Their secondary structure includes four short double-helical elements and three loops (D, anti-codon, and T loops). The record is from RNAcentral. Lineage: Eukaryota; Viridiplantae; Streptophyta; Magnoliopsida; Malvales; Thymelaeaceae.
GGGGAUAUGGCGAAAUUGGUAGACGCUACGGACUAAAAUCUGUUGACUUUUAAAAUCGUGAGGGUUCAAGUCCCUCUAUCCCCA